Molecule: long non-coding RNA, 2397 nt
Organism: Pygocentrus nattereri (red-bellied piranha)
Lineage: Eukaryota; Metazoa; Chordata; Actinopteri; Characiformes; Serrasalmidae
Exons: 5
Source: RefSeq, a predicted model, not a curated record
GAACCCAUUCGGAGGGAAAUUUAACAGGGCGGAGAGCUGCUCGUGCACAUGCGCAUAAAAGGCGCAGAGAAGUCUGGAGAAGCUUAUGCAGGUCCUGAGGAGAAAGCUUCGUCGGACGCGUUCCUAAUCAUAUUAAUACCGUGUAGAUUCUGCGAGAACGAGCAUGAACGAGCCAGACAAGAUUAAGGGCAAGCUGGAAACCAGGAAUGGAAAGUACGCCAGGAUUGAAACAAAGAGGACAGGAGCAACAAUAGUUGCUAAACAAGAUCAAGGAAAUCAGCCUAACGUUACUGUUUAUAGGAGUUAUGAGAGUCAUAAGAAUGUCUGCGUGGCGUUCUGCUUUGAACUGGAAAACAAGAAAUAUUUUCCUGUAGUAAAGAAGCAAGUAGACUCAACAGCUCCAGCCCAAUUCCAGGUAGAACCGAGGAAUGAUCCAGAUGCUAUAGAUGAAUCGGUCCAGUUCAGGUGGACUAAGGCAAAAGGAGCCUGGAAAUUCCUGAAUUCUGUGGCAGAACCCAGCCAGUACUUGUCUGUCUAUAAAAACCAGUUCACCCUCAGCACCACACCAACAACUUAUUUCAGAUUCAAAUCCAACAUGCGCCGAAUGAAGAGAAAAAUGUCUGUUUGAAUUCUUUUAUUGCUAGCCAGCACGGGACACCGCACAUCAGUACAUCUUUACAUGUAACCAUGUAACAGCAUUAACAGGUUUAUAUGCAGUGUAACUCCUGAAAAUAUCUAACCUGAAGAUUAUUUUUGCAAGUAGGCCUGCUGUACCAACCACACGUAAUGCACACUCACUUUACUGUGUGUUAUAGAUUUUAAGAGACUAGCCGUCUCUACUAUGCCAAACAAGAAUACCGAAUGUUUUUGCAUACAGUACCAUAUUUUUAUUAUUUCACUUUAUAAACAGUUGUAUGCAAAAGUUUAGGUACUCCUCACCAAUUUUUUGAAACGCAGCCUCUGUUUGAAUGCCUUACAAAGUCAGUACUUUUAACUUGGCAAAAGUUUUGGGCCAUCUUGCAUGCAUGUAUAAAAUAUCUACCCACAGAUUUUUAAUGAUGUUCAAGUUGGGGGACUGUGAGGGCCAUUCUAAACUUUCAGCAUGUGUUCAGCCUUGAUGUAGUUCAUGAUGGACUUUGAGGUAUGUUUUGGAUCAUUGUCCUGUUGUAGAAGCCUGCUUCUUUUGAGCUUGUUCAGUGUUGGCCUGAGAUUCAGAGAGUCAGAGAAGAGUCAGAGAAUUUAUUACACUCUUAUUACACUUGCCUAACCAGUCCUCACAAGUCACUUAAAGCCUAUUGAGUAAGUUCUGAGAUUUUACAACUGGAAGCUUACAAACUUUUUGACAUAUCAUUUUUUUUCUAUUUAUUCUUUUGCUUUAACACUUGCUGAAAAGUGUUAUUUUUAAUAGUCUGCUGCAGAGGAGUUGUUUAUUUCUUUUCACUUCAGAAAAGUAUGGAAUUUGCCCAGGGCUGCCCAACAUUUUGCAGACAGCUAUAUUAAUAGUUGAAGAGAGAUCAUUUUAGCUGCCUUUUUACAUGCUUACAUAUUAAUGUCUGAUAAACAGAAGCAGUGCAUUCCAUAGUUUGGUGCACAAAAACAGAAAGCUGCCUUUACACUAAUUCUGUAUUUUGCUUUAGAUAUUUGAAGUAGACCAGCAUUUACUAAACUGUGAUCAUGUAAUGGAGUGUGUGCAGACAGACUUCGAGUUAAGUUCAUAGGUGCUGAAUCAUUGUGCUUUUAAAAAUGUUUUCUGGAAGACACAUGCAACCAGUGUAAAUCUUUCAAAACAGGAUUGAUGCAUGAUAUGUCCAAAUAGAUCCUGAACCACUUUCAAUUACUGCAGUCACUUUAAGGUGCACCCAUUGAUGACAUAGGCGUCACACACAGCUUUUAUGAGUCUAAAGUGUAGGUUUACUUCCUGUCCAGGAAACCAACCCAUAGUGCAUAACCUUGAUUAGUUUUGUUUGGGAAGCCCAGAAAAGACAGCAUUACUAGAAUCCAACAUUUUGGCCUUUGCCAAAAAGUGAUCAUUGCAUUUAUGCUUUAUAUUAGGGUUCCACAGACCUCACACACUGAGCUACAUCCCAUGGUAAAGAGAUGACAAUAAGGGGAUAGGCUUUCAAAGGAUAUUACACUGAUUCAGAGGUCACUAAACUGUGAAUACGUUAUUGUAGUUUUAAAUAGACAGGGGCGGGUGUCAUACACUUCAGCCUCUGUCGUUUCAGAUUGGUGGUGCUGUCGUAGAGUGAUGGGAAUCAUUUAACUCACAUUGAGAAUGAGCCCAAACAGAAGAAUUUGAAAAACAAUUUUCAAAAAAAGUAAAAAAAAAAAAAAAGACUAAUUCAAACGUAUUGUUGGCUCUCAGACUACUCAACCAGAUCACUUUGGUAAACACAA